This is an RNA transcript of Oncorhynchus keta (chum salmon), 2467 nucleotides long. It is a transcript of the gene named protein FAM133-like, with no coding region annotated. The record is from RefSeq and is a predicted model, not a curated record. The transcript is spliced from 20 exons. Lineage: Eukaryota; Metazoa; Chordata; Actinopteri; Salmoniformes; Salmonidae.
GCAUUCACACAACACAAUACCCACACCUUGGCCAAUGGCCAGAAUAAAGGACUUCCUAUCAGUGGAACUCAGUCAUAUCAUUCAUUCACAGGCAACGGCAAGGUGUAACUGGAGCGGCUGUUGAGUUGAAUGGAGUUCAACCGACCCAAAGCUACAGGGGGAGGGCCUGGAGAUGGAGAGGGAGGACAAGUUGUCCUGAGCACGCUGGAUGAACUCCAGCCUGGGAGGAGUGAACGGAAGCUUGAAGAGCAUGGAGGGCUGGGAGGGCUGUCUUCAACCGACACCACUAACGCAGCCAAGACGGACCCCAGAGCCCCUGCAGGACGAUCUGGAAAGGUUGACUUGUACUCAUUCCACAGCUCCCCAUCUUCAGACAGCGAGGAGGAGGAGAAAGGCAAGAAGGAAAAGAAAAAGAAGAAGCUGAAGAAGAAGAGGAAGAAGAAGGAUUCCAGUUCAUCCUCUUCCUCCUCCUCCUCCUCCUCUGACAGCAGCUCUUCAGACAGUGAAGAUGAGAAUAAGAAGAAGAGGAAGAAGAAGAAGGCGAAGAAAGAAGGUUCUGGGGAUACUAUAGUACAUGAUGCAGCCUCCAUAUCUGAGCCUGGGCUUGAAUGCGUCACUGAUCUAAACGACGAGGAAACAAAGAAGAAAGAGGAUAACUCAGGCUCGGACAGUGAAAAGAAGAUGAAGAAGAAGAAGAAGAAGAAGAAGAAGAAGAAGAAGAAGGAUUCCAGCUCCUCUUCUUCAUCUUCCAGCUCAUCCUCCUCCUCAGACAGUGAGGAGGAGGAGAAGAAGAAGAAGAAGAAGAAGAAGAAGAAGAAAAAGGAUUCCAGCUCCUCAUCUUCAUCCUCUGAUAGCUCUUCAUCCUCCUCAUCCUCGGACAGUGACAAGAAGAAGAAGAAGAAGAAGAAGAAGAAGAAGAAAAAGGAUUCCAGCUCCUCAUCUUCAUCCUCUGAUAGCUCUUCAUCCUCCUCAUCCUCGGACAGUGACAAGAAGAAGAAGAAGAAAAAGAAGAAGAAGCAAAAGAAAAAGGAUUCUAGAGGUUCUUCUGACAGCAAGGGAGAAGAGGCAGACGGACAGGGCAAGGAUGAGUACAGCUGUGCUGCUGGCGUUUCAACAGCUGGUGAGGAGGGUGCUGGACUGGAGGGUACCCUGGGACAGAAAUUGGGCAAAGGGGAAAAAAAGAAAGACAAGAAGAAGAAGAAAGACAAGAGAAUGGACAAGGGCUCUGUGUCUGAGAGUGAUGACGAUGACAAGUGCAAGAAAGACAAAGCAAAGGAGGGUGGUGCAUCAGCUGAAUGGAUUUGUGGCAGAGAUUUUCCUGAAGGAAUGGAAGCUGGAAACCUGAGUGAUGAUGAGAGAGAAGGAGGCAAGGAGAAAGAGAAGAAGAAGAAGUUGAAGAAGAAGAAGAAGAAGAAGGACUCUGGCUGUUCAUCAUCCUCUUCAUCCUCGGAAAGCUCUUCCUCUUCAGACAGCGAGGAUGACAAAAAGAAGAAGAAGAAGAAGAAGAAGAAGAAGAAGAAAGCUGAGGAUUCCAGUUCUUCAUCUUCAUCUUCCUCGUCUUCAUCCUCCUCUUCCUCUUCAUCCUCUUCCUCUUCUGAUAGCGAGGAGGAAAAUAAGAAUAAGAAGAAGAAGAAGAAGAAAAAGGUGAGAAAGCGAUGUGUUGUGUGAUUUAACAUAAAAACAAGGUGAGAAAGCGAUGUGUUGUGUGAUUUAACAUAAAAACAAGGUGAGAAAGCGAUGUGUUGUGUGAUUUAACAUAAAAACAAGGUGAGAAAGCGAUGUGUUGUGUGAUUUAACAGAAAAACAAGGUGAGAAAGCGAUGUGUUGUGUGAUUUAACAUAAAAACAAGGUGAGAAAGCGAUGUGUUGUGUGAUUUAACAGAAAAACAAGGUGAGAAAGCGAUGUGUUGUGUGAUUUAACAGAAAAACAAGGUGAGAAAGCGAUGUGUUGUGUGAUUUAACAGAAAAACAAGGUGAGAAAGCGAUGUGUUGUGUGAUUUAACAGAAAAACAAGGUGAGAAAGCGAUGUGUUGUGUGAUUUAACAGAAAGCGAUGUGUUGUGUGAUUUAACAGAAAAACAAGGUGAGAAAGCGAUGUGUUGUGUGAUUUAACAGAAAAACAAGGUGAGAAAGCGAUGUGUUGUGUGAUUUAACAGAAAAACAAGGUGAGAAAGCGAUGUGUUGUGUGAUUUAACAGAAAAACAAGGUGAGAAAGCGAUGUGUUGUGUGAUUUAACAGAAAAACAAAGUGAGAAAGCGACGUGUUGUGUGAUUUAACAUAAAAACAAGGUGAGAAAGCGAUGUGUUGUGUGAUUUAACAUAAAAAGAAGCACAUUGUUUUUGUUGACUCACUGUUGACCCUGGUCAUUUCUGUAUCACAUUAAAACAGUGUAAAACCGUACUAUACCUAUGGCUAUCUAUAGCCCAAUGACAGACCCUGGAAAGUUGUUAAAUACUUCAUAGUGACCUU